UGGGGAAUAUUGGACAAUGGGCGCAAGCCUGAUCCAGCAAUGCCGCGUGAGUGAUGAAGGCCUUAGGGUUGUAAAGCUCUUUCGCACGCGACGAUGAUGACGGUAGCGUGAGAAGAAGCCCCGGCUAACUUCGUGCCAGCAGCCGCGGUAAUACGAAGGGGGCUAGCGUUGUUCGGAAUUACUGGGCGUAAAGCGUGCGCAGGCGGUUUUGUAAGACGGAUGUGAAAUCCCCGGGCUUAACCUGGGAACUGCAUUCGUGACUGCAAGGCUAGAGUAUGGCAGAGGGGGGUAGAAUUCCACGUGUAGCAGUGAAAUGCGUAGAGAUGUGGAGGAAUACCGAUGGCGAAGGCAGCCCCCUGGGCCAAUACUGACGCUCAUGCACGAAAGCGUGGGGAGCAAACA
This 402-nucleotide ribosomal RNA is filed under the name uncultured bacterium. RNAcentral describes it as "bacterial SSU rRNA". It matches the Rfam family "Bacterial small subunit ribosomal RNA", at positions 355 to 774 of the family's 1533-position model. The record is from RNAcentral.